Molecule: ribosomal RNA, 721 nt
Filed under: uncultured bacterium
Lineage: Bacteria
Description: bacterial SSU rRNA
Rfam family: Bacterial small subunit ribosomal RNA
Source: RNAcentral
CAGUCGAACGAAGCACUCUACUUGAUUUUCUUCGGAGAUGAAGAUUUUGUGACUGAGUGGCGGACGGGUGAGUAACGCGUGGGUAACCUGCCUCAUACAGGGGGAUAACAGUUGGAAACGACUGCUAAUACCGCAUAAGCGCACAGGAUUGCAUGAUCCGGUGUGAAAAACUCCGGUGGUAUGAGAUGGACCCGCGUCUGAUUAGCCAGUUGGCAGGGUAACGGCCUACCAAAGCGACGAUCAGUAGCCGACCUGAGAGGGUGACCGGCCACAUUGGGACUGAGACACGGCCCAAACUCCUACGGGAGGCAGCAGUGGGGAAUAUUGCACAAUGGGGGAAACCCUGAUGCAGCGACGCCGCGUGAGCGAAGAAGUAUUUCGGUAUGUAAAGCUCUAUCAGCAGGGAAGAAGAAUGACGGUACCUGACUAAGAAGCACCGGCUAAAUACGUGCCAGCAGCCGCGGUAAUACGUAUGGUGCAAGCGUUAUCCGGAUUUACUGGGUGUAAAGGGAGCGCAGGCGGUGCGGCAAGUCUGAUGUGAAAGCCCGGGGCUCAACCCCGGUACUGCAUUGGAAACUGUCGUACUAGAGUGUCGGAGGGGUAAGUGGAAUUCCUAGUGUAGCGGUGAAAUGCGUAGAUAUUAGGAGGAACACCAGUGGCGAAGGCGGCUUACUGGACGAUACCUGACGCUGAGGCUCGAAAGCGUGNGGAGCAAACAGGA